AUUGAACGCUGGCGGCAGGCCUAACACAUGCAAGUCGAGCGGAUGAAGGGAGCUUGCUCCUGGAUUCAGCGGCGGACGGGUGAGUAAUGCCUAGGAAUCUGCCUUGUAGUGGGGGAUAACGUCCUGAAACGGGCGCUAAUACCGCAUACGUCCUGAGGUAGAAAGUGGGGGAUCUUCGGACCUCACGCUAUCAGAUGAGCCUAGGUCGGAUUAGCUAGUUGGUGGGGUAAAGGCCUACCAAGGCGACGAUCCGUAACUGGUCUGAGAGGAUGAUCAGUCACACUGGAAGUGAGACACGGUCCAGACUCCUACGGGAGGCAGCAGUGGGGAAUAUUGGACAAUGGGCGAAAGCCUGAUCCAGCCAUGCCGCGUGUGUGAAGAAGGUCUUCGGAUUGUAAAGCACUUUAAGUUGGGAGGAAGGGCAGUAAGUUAAUACCUUGCUGUUUUGACGUUACCAACAGAAUAAGCACCGGCUAACUUCGUG
Molecule: ribosomal RNA, 484 nt
Filed under: uncultured bacterium
Lineage: Bacteria
Description: partial 16S ribosomal RNA
Rfam family: Bacterial small subunit ribosomal RNA
Source: RNAcentral